UACGGAGGGUGCGAGCGUUGUCCGGAAUCAUUGGGCGUAAAGGGCGCGUAGGUGGCCACUUCAAGCGUGCGGUGAAAGUCCGGGCUCAACCUCGGAUCGGCCGUGGCGACUCGUGGGCUGGAGCACUGUAGAGGCGGGUGGAAUUCCGGGUGUAGCGGUGGAAUGCGUAGAGAGUCCGGAAGAACACCAGUGGCGAAGGCGGCCCGCUGGGCAGUGGCUGACGCUGAGGCGCGACAGCGUGGGGAGGCAAACAGG
Molecule: ribosomal RNA, 255 nt
Filed under: uncultured bacterium
Lineage: Bacteria
Description: partial 16S ribosomal RNA
Rfam family: Bacterial small subunit ribosomal RNA
Source: RNAcentral